Molecule: ribosomal RNA, 253 nt
Filed under: uncultured bacterium
Lineage: Bacteria
Description: partial 16S ribosomal RNA
Rfam family: Bacterial small subunit ribosomal RNA
Source: RNAcentral
UACGUAGGGUGCGAGCGUUAAUCGGAAUUACUGGGCGUAAAGCGUGCGCAGGCGGUUCGUGAUGUCUGGUGUGAAAGCCCCGGGCUUAACCUGGGAAUUGCAUUGGAAACUAGCGGGCUGGAGCAUAGUAGAGGCAGGUGGAAUUCCGGGUGUAGCGGUGGAAUGCGUAGAGAUCCGGAAGAACACCGGUGGCGAAGGCGGCCUGCUGGGCUAUGGCUGACACUGAGGCGCGACAGCGCGGGGAGCAAACAGG